Molecule: non-coding RNA, 69 nt
Organism: Danio rerio (zebrafish)
Lineage: Eukaryota; Metazoa; Chordata; Actinopteri; Cypriniformes; Danionidae
Source: Rfam
GGCUAGCUCAGUCGGUAGAGCAUGAGAUUCUUCAUCUCAGGGUCGUGGGUUUGAGCCCUUUGUUGGCCG